UUAGGCAUGCAAGUCGAACGGUAUAAACCUUCGGGGUUUAGAGAGUGGCGAACGGGUGAGUAACACGUAGGUAAUCUACCCUCAAAACGGGGACAACCCAGGGAAACUUGGGCUAAUACCGGAUGCGUGCAAACAAUGUUUUGGCUGUUGUAAUUAUUCACGGAAGUGGAUAGUUAUGAGAGUUUCAGAGCAUAAUUUGCAUAAAAGGUGGCGUAAGCUGCCGUUUGAGGAUGAGCCUGCGUCCUAUUAGUUAGUUGGUGAGGUAAUGGCUUACCAAGGCGAUGAUAGAUAGGCGGCCUUAACGGGUGGUCGCCCACACUGGGAUUGAGAUACGGCCCAGACUCCUACGGGAGGCAGCAGUCGAGAAUAGUCUACAAUGGCCGGAAGGCUGAUAGUGCGACGCCGCGUGAACGAGGGAGCCCUUCGGGGUGUAAAGUUCUUUUCUAUACGAGCAGUGCUAUAUAUAUGGAUAGUAUAUAUAGAGGGAUAGUAGUAUAGGAAUAAGCAACGGCUAACUCCGUG
Molecule: ribosomal RNA, 522 nt
Filed under: uncultured bacterium
Lineage: Bacteria
Description: bacterial SSU rRNA
Rfam family: Bacterial small subunit ribosomal RNA
Source: RNAcentral